Molecule: RNase P RNA, 338 nt
Filed under: human gut metagenome
Description: Bacterial RNase P class A
Rfam family: Bacterial RNase P class A
About the family: Ribonuclease P (RNase P) is a ubiquitous endoribonuclease, found in archaea, bacteria and eukarya as well as chloroplasts and mitochondria.
Source: RNAcentral
AGUAGGUUGUACGGCUGCGGAGUACGAAAGUACGACGAGGAAAGUCCGAGCUUCACACAAGCAGGGUGCCGGUUAACGGCCGGUGAAGGCGACUUCAAGGAAAGUGCAACAGAAAGUACCGCGUCGCGUAAGCGGCGUAAGGGUGAAAAGGCGAGGUAAGAGCUCACCGCCGCUUUGGUAACAAGGCGGGCAAUGUAAACCCCACCCGAAGCAAGAUGGGAGCGGGUAAAGCGCGCUUGUGCGCUCCGCUUGUUCGAGUCGCUUGAGCUUGGCGGUAACGUCAAGUCUAGAUAGAUAGCCGUAUUAAAUGACAGAACUCGGCUUACAGACCUACUCUU